This 78-nucleotide transfer RNA is filed under the name Candidatus Omnitrophota bacterium. RNAcentral describes it as "Candidatus Omnitrophica bacterium tRNA-Pro". It matches the Rfam family "tRNA". From Rfam's summary of the family: Transfer RNA (tRNA) molecules are approximately 80 nucleotides in length. Their secondary structure includes four short double-helical elements and three loops (D, anti-codon, and T loops). The record is from RNAcentral. Lineage: Bacteria; Pseudomonadati; Candidatus Omnitrophota.
CGGGGUGUGGCUCAGUUUGGUUAGAGCGCCUGCUUUGGGAGCAGGAGGCCGGCAGUUCGAAUCUGCCCAUCCCGACCA